AGUUAUGAAUAAAGCCGCUGUAAACAUCCACGUGCAGGUUUUUGUGUGGACAUAAGUUUUCAGCUCCUUUGCGUAAAUACCAAGGAGCACAACUGCUGGGUCCUUGGUAAGAGUAUGCUUAGUUUUGUGAGCAGCCGCCAAACUGUCUUCCACAGUGGCUGGACCAUUUUGCAUUCCCACCAGCAAUGAACAAGAGUUCCUGCUGCUCCUCAUCCUCACUCGCAUUUGGUGGUGUCAGUGGUCUGGAUUUUGGCCAGUCUAAAAAACUUUUGAACCCAGAUGUUUUGGCUCUAAAUCCAGUGAACCUUCUAGUGGGAUAAUAAUGCGUAUCUAAUAGGACCAGUGUGAAGGUGAAAUGACAUCACACAUGUAUUAGGAAAAGGAGAAUAUCUAAGCUUUGGCACGUGCCUGGCGCUGUGCUAAGUGACAGGUGGACUUCAUCCUCACAAUAACCUCGGGACUCAGGUGCUGUUACUAUCUCCAUUUUGCAGAUAAAGACAGCAGCUCAGCGAGAUUAACUGCUGUGCCCAAGGAUGUGUAGGGAGUGGCAGAGCCAGAUUGAAACCCAAAGCUGCCUGACUCUGGGGCACACAGCAGGAUCAGUUUCCAUUCAUUGGAGCAAAGGAUCUACUGUGAUGCCAGGGUCUCCAUCAGGUGGCCUGUGGUUGUCCUCCUUGCAGCUUUUGUUAUAAGACCCUGCGGUCAGCUCGCCAGCACACCCCGGCAGAGCCCCGAGUCCGUGCGUGCGGAGAAUACGGAAGCCCAGAGCAUCACCCUCCUCACAGCCUCAGCACGCGCUCUGAAUCCUCAUAUCAUCAAUAACAUUGAUACCAACUAAUUUAAACCCACUGAACCAGUGAACUGGGGCUGCAGAUGUGUUUAUGAGCAGGAUACUAAGUAGCUAUUUUAACUAAGUGGAACAUUUCUUGCUUCAAUUAAUGAAAAGGUAGCAACUCUGAGGAAAUAUUAGGGGCAUUAAGUUUUAUAUUGGCGCCAUUUAUUAUAUAUGAUUUUUAACACUUUUAAUCACUUUAUCCAUGUUGACAGCUACUGAGAGAAAAAGAGCUUUCCACGGUGAGUGUGACCCAGGAAUUACUGUCAAGCUGAGACAGAUGAUCAUUGACCCCUGAGUUGCCUUGGUCUUUUGAGGAAAUAGUGAGGAUUUUAUUAGUUUUAUUAAUGGCACUCAGGGAGAUCAAGUUAUUGAUUAGCAAAGAAUGAGUCCUUAACACGCACAUUUCUUGGAAAGGGUAAACGAAGUAGAAGGGAAUUAACAUUUAUUCAGCACCUACUGUGUGCCAGGUGUGUGCUGGGCUAUCUACAUACUGAAUUAAAUCUCCAAGCAGUCCUGUGAGGCUGGCUACAGCGAUGUCCGUUACACAGAGGAGGAAAUGGAAAGACUGAGAUACUUGCUCAUUCAGUAAAACUUUUGCGCCCUGCUAGUUCACGACGGGGCUUAGAUCGUGAAU
Molecule: long non-coding RNA, 1469 nt
Filed under: Equus caballus (horse)
Lineage: Eukaryota; Metazoa; Chordata; Mammalia; Perissodactyla; Equidae
Description: lncRNA (ENSECAG00000053399.1)
Source: RNAcentral